CCUACGGGUGGCUGCAGUGGGGAAUAUUGCACAGUGGGCGCAAGCCUGAUGCAGCCAUGCCGCGUGUGUGAAGAAGGCCCUCGGGUUGUAAAGCACUUUCAGCGGGGAGGAAGGCGGUGAGGUUAAUAACCUCAUCGAUUGACGCUACCCGCAGAAGAAGCACCGGCUAACUCCGUGCCAGCAGCCGCGGUAAUACGGAGGGUGCAAGCGUUAAUCGGAAUUACUGGGCGUAAAGCGCACGCAGGCGGUCUGUCAAGUCGGAUGUGAAAUCCCCGGGCUCAACUUGGGAACUGCAUUCGAAACUGGCAGGCUAGAGUCUUGUAGAGGGGGGUAGAAUUCCAGGUGUAGCGGUGAAAUGCGUAGAGAUCUGGAGGAAUACCGGUGGCGAAGGCGGCCCCCUGGACAAAGACUGACGCUCAGGUGCGAAAGCGUGGGGAGCAAACAGGAUUAGAUACCCUAGUAGUC
RNAcentral lists this ribosomal RNA (465 nucleotides) under uncultured Klebsiella sp. RNAcentral describes it as "bacterial SSU rRNA". It matches the Rfam family "Bacterial small subunit ribosomal RNA", at positions 338 to 795 of the family's 1533-position model. The record is from RNAcentral. Lineage: Bacteria; Pseudomonadati; Pseudomonadota; Gammaproteobacteria; Enterobacterales; Enterobacteriaceae.